GGACUACCGGGGUAUCUAAUCCUGUUUGCUCCCCACGCUCUCGCACCUCAGUGUCAGUCUGGACCCAGGCUGCCGCCUUCGCCACUGGUGUUCUUUCCGAUCUCUACGCAUUUCACCGCUACACCGGAAAUUCCACAGCCCUCUGUCCGACUCUAGUCGUAUAGUAUCCAACGCAAUUCCCAGGUUAAGCCCAGGGCUUUCACAUCAAACUUAUACCACCACCUACGUGCGCUUUACGCCCAGUAAUUCUGAUUAACGCUUGCACCCUCUGUAUUACCGCGGCUGCUGGCAC
RNAcentral lists this ribosomal RNA (292 nucleotides) under uncultured bacterium. Its description in RNAcentral is "partial 16S ribosomal RNA". The record is from RNAcentral.